Molecule: ribosomal RNA, 324 nt
Filed under: Triticum aestivum (bread wheat)
Lineage: Eukaryota; Viridiplantae; Streptophyta; Magnoliopsida; Poales; Poaceae
Description: partial small subunit ribosomal RNA
Source: RNAcentral
AUGCCCAGUUCUCGAGCUCACCUUGGAGGUUCAAACGCCGCAACGGGACCUCCACCGGCCAGAUCCGGCGCCUCCCUCCCGGAUCCGCGCGCCCUCCACCUCCUCUACCCGAUCCGGCGCUGCCCACCUCAGCUCCUCCUCUCCUCCGUGCGCCCGAGCUCCUCGCUAUGCGUCGCCCGGGAGGGCUCGCGCUCGCUACUUGACCAGAGCCACCACGUUGCAUUCUCCGUCGACCUCGCCGUCCCCUCUGCACUACCCUCCACCUCAACUGAUAUAAAUAACAUGGCUGAGAAAGUUCCUCCAAUGAAAGGAGGAGGAGUAUAG